UGGGGGAUAUUGCACAAUGGGCGAAAGCCUGAUGCAGCGACGCCGCGUGGGGGAUGAAGGCCUUCGGGUUGUAAACUUCUUUUGCUCUGAACAAGGUGCACCGUGGGGUGUGUUGAGUGUAGGGGUUGAUUAGCGCCGGCUAACUACGUGCCAGCAGCCGCGGUAAUACGUAGGGCGCGAGCGUUGUCCGGAAUUAUUGGGCGUAAAGGGCUUGUAGGUGGCUGGUUGCGUCUGUCGUGAAAGCUCAUGGCUUAACUGUGGGUUUGCGGUGGGUACGGGCUGGCUUGAGUGCAGUAGGGGAGGCUGGAAUUCCUGGUGUAGCGGUGGAAUGCGCAGAUAUCAGGAGGAAUACCGGUAGCGAAGGCGGGUCUCUGGGCUGUUACUGACACUGAGGAGCGAAAGCAUGGGGAGCGAACAGG
RNAcentral lists this ribosomal RNA (419 nucleotides) under Fusobacteriota bacterium. RNAcentral's name for it is "Fusobacteria bacterium partial 16S ribosomal RNA". It matches the Rfam family "Bacterial small subunit ribosomal RNA", at positions 355 to 776 of the family's 1533-position model. Lineage: Bacteria; Fusobacteriati; Fusobacteriota. The record is from RNAcentral.